This 505-nucleotide ribosomal RNA is filed under the name uncultured bacterium. Its description in RNAcentral is "partial 16S ribosomal RNA". It matches the Rfam family "Bacterial small subunit ribosomal RNA", at positions 28 to 507 of the family's 1533-position model. The record is from RNAcentral.
GAUGAACGCUGGCGGCGUGCCUAAUACAUGCAAGUAGAACGCACAGUCUAUACCGUAGCUUGCUACACCAUAGACUGUGAGUUGCGAACGGGUGAGUAACGCGUAGGUAACCUGCCUGGUAGCGGGGGAUAACUAUUGGAAACGAUAGCUAAUACCGCAUAAUAUUAAUUAUUGCAUGAUAAUUAAUUGAAAGGUGCAAUUGCACCACUACCAGAUGGACCUGCGUUGUAUUGGCUAGUAGGUGAGGUAACGGCUCACCUAGGCGACGAUACAUAGCCGACCUGGGAGGGGGGUCGGCCACACUGGGACUGGGACACGGCCCAGGCUCCUUCGGGAGGCAGCAGGAGGGAAUCUUCGGCAAUGGGCGAAAGUCUGGCCGGGCAACGCCGCGGGAGUGGAGAAGGGUUUCGGAUCGUAAAGCUCUGUUGUAAGGGAAAAACGGGUUUGGGAGUGGAAAGUUCACACUGUGACGGUAUCUUACCAGAAAGGGACGGCUAACUACGUG